Molecule: ribosomal RNA, 296 nt
Filed under: uncultured bacterium
Lineage: Bacteria
Description: partial 16S ribosomal RNA
Rfam family: Bacterial small subunit ribosomal RNA
Source: RNAcentral
CCUACGGGGGGCAGCAGUGGGGAAUAUUGCACAAUGGGGGAAACCCUGAUGCAGCGACGCCGCGUGAGCGAAGAAGUAUUUCGGUAUGUAAAGCUCUAUCAGCAGGGAAGAAAAAUGACGGUACCUGAGUAAGAAGCACCGGCUAAAUACGUGCCAGCAGCCGCGGUAAUACGUAGGGGGCAAGCGUUAUCCGGAUUUACUGGGUGUAAAAGGAGCGUAGACGGCGAAGAAAGUCUGAAGUGAAAGCCCGCGGCUUAACCGCGGAACUGCCUUGGAACCUUUUUUGCUGGAGUACC